This 335-nucleotide long non-coding RNA is filed under the name Callithrix jacchus (white-tufted-ear marmoset). RNAcentral describes it as "lncRNA (ENSCJAG00000082999.1)". The record is from RNAcentral. Lineage: Eukaryota; Metazoa; Chordata; Mammalia; Primates; Cebidae.
GGAGUCAAGUGGAAAGAAAGGAAAGCCUGAGAUGGAGCUUUGAAUUCAACUGAACCUGGAAUCACAAUCCUGAAUUUACCUGAAAACUCACUGGAUUGAAAUGAUGAUGUAAAAGGCUGAACCAAAAAUAACAACUGAUCUUAUACACACCAUUCCUCUGCUGCAUUGGUAUGCUACAGCUGUGAUCUUCACAAGGGACAUAGAUGAAUCUGGAGAACAUCAUCCUCAGCAAACUGACACAAGAACAGAAAAUGAAACACCGCAUAUUCUCACUCAUAGUGUUUCCUGUUUAGGUUUCCUUGGAAAGUCACCAUGAGUCCAGUAAUUGAUGUGAG